This 468-nucleotide ribosomal RNA is filed under the name uncultured bacterium. Its description in RNAcentral is "partial 16S ribosomal RNA". It matches the Rfam family "Bacterial small subunit ribosomal RNA", at positions 28 to 507 of the family's 1533-position model. The record is from RNAcentral.
GAUGAACGCUGGCGGCGUGCUUAACACAUGCAAGUCGAACGGUGAAGGCGGAGCUUGCUCUGCUGGAUCAGUUGCGAACGGGUGAGUAACACGUGAGCAAUCUGCCCCUGACUCUGGGAUAAGCUCUGGAAACGGCGUCUAAUACUGGAUACGAGCUGCGAAGGCAUCUUCAGCAGCUGUUAAGAAUUUCGGUCAGGGAUGGGCUCGCGGCCUAUCAGCUUGUUGGUGAGGUAAUGGCUCACCAAGGCGUCGACAGGUAGCCGGCCUGAGAGGGUGACCGGACAAGCUGGGACUGAGAUAAGGCACAGACUCCUAUGGGAGGCAGCAGAGGGGAAUAUUGCACAAUGGGCGAAAGCCUGAUGCAGCAAAGCCGCGUGAGGGACGAGGGGCUGGGGGUUGGAAACCAAUGUUAGCAGGGAAGAAGCGAAAGUGACGGUACCGGCAGAAAAAGCGCCGGCUAACUACGUG